GACGAACGCUGGCGGCGUGCUUAACACAUGCAAGUCGGACGGAAAGGCCCUGCUUUUGUGGGGUGCUCGAGUGGCGAACGGGUGAGUAACACGUGAGUAACCUGCCCUUGACUUUGGGAUAACUUCAGGAAACUGGGGCUAAUACCGGAUAGGAGCUCCUGCUGCAUGGUGGGGGUUGGAAAGUUUCGGCGGUUGGGGAUGGACUCGCGGCUUAUCAGCUUGUUGGUGGGGUAGUGGCUUACCAAGGCUUUGACGGGUAGCCGGCCUGAGAGGGUGACCGGCCACAUUGGGACUGAGAUACGGCCCAGACUCCUACGGGAGGCAGCAGUGGGGAAUAUUGCACAAUGGGCGGAAGCCUGAUGCAGCAACGCCGCGUGCGGGAUGACGGCCUUCGGGUUGUAAACCGCUUUCGCCUGUGACGAAGCGUGAGUGACGGUAAUGGGUAAAGAAGCACCGGCUGACUACGUGCCAGCAGCCGCGGUGAUACGUAGGGUGCGAGCGUUGUCCGGAUUUAUUGGGCGUAAAGGGCUCGUAGGUGGUUGAUCGCGUCGGAAGUGUAAUCUUGGGGCUUAACCCUGAGCGUGCCUUCGAUACGGGUUGACUUGAGGAAGGUAGGGGAGAAUGGAAUUCCUGGUGGAGCGGUGGAAUGCGCAGAUAUCAGGAGGAACACCAGUGGCGAAGGCGGUUCUCUGGGCCUUUCCUGACGCUGAGGAGCGAAAGCGUGGGGAGCGAACAGGCUUAGAUACCCUGGUAGUCCACGCUGUAAACGGUGGGUACUAGGUGUGGGGUCCAUUCCACGGGUUCCGUGCCGUAGCUAACGCUUUAAGUACCCCGCCUGGGGAGUACGGCCGCAAGGCUAAAACUCAAAGGAAUUGACGGGGCCCCGCACAAGCGGCGGAGCAUGCGGAUUAAUUCGAUGCAACGCGUAGAACCUUACCUGGGUUUGACAUGGAUCGGGAGUGCUCAGAGAUGGGUGUGCCUCUUUUGGGGUCGGUUCACAGGUGGUGCAUGGCUGUCGUCAGCUCGUGUCGUGAGAUGUUGGGUUAAGUCCCGCAACGAGCGCAACCCUUGUUCACUGUUGCCAGCACGUUAUGGUGGGGACUCAGUGGAGACCGCCGGGGUCAACUCGGAGGAAGGUGGGGAUGACGUCAAGUCAUCAUGCCCCUUAUGUCCAGGGCUUCACGCAUGCUACAAUGGCUGGUACAGAGAGUGGCGAGCCUGUGAGGGUGAGCGAAUCUCGGAAAGCCGGUCUCAGUUCGGAUUGGGGUCUGCAACUCGACCUCAUGAAGUCGGAGUCGCUAGUAAUCGCAGAUCAGCAACGCUGCGGUGAAUACGUUCCCGGG
This 1343-nucleotide ribosomal RNA is filed under the name uncultured bacterium. Its description in RNAcentral is "16S ribosomal RNA". It matches the Rfam family "Bacterial small subunit ribosomal RNA", at positions 28 to 1378 of the family's 1533-position model. The record is from RNAcentral.